AGAGGGGUUCCACAGGAGCGACCUGGGAUCACAUGCGUCCACCCUCACAUUAACACAAUGUGCUGCAUUGCUAGUGUAUUGUGCUCGAUGUGUUCUCAGGUCGCCCCUGCAGUACCUUC
RNAcentral lists this microRNA precursor (119 nucleotides) under Prunus persica (peach). RNAcentral's name for it is "miR398a stem-loop (ppe-MIR398a)". Its record names the gene ppe-MIR398a. It matches the Rfam family "MIR398 microRNA precursor family". The record is from miRBase by way of RNAcentral. Lineage: Eukaryota; Viridiplantae; Streptophyta; Magnoliopsida; Rosales; Rosaceae.